AGUUUAGGCCAGUGUGGUUCAGUGAUUUCACAUACUGAAUUAUUAUCUCUGUUUUGACAAAAUUUGAACGCAUGUAUCAUGGCUUUGACUUGUUUGAAGAUUCAGGAUUAGGAUAAACAUCGUUUUUGUUUUGGUGAUAAUGGAUGUUCCUAUCCCAUUUUGAAUUUGAAUCUUUGGAAUAUUGUUGGAAGCAUGUUAGUUGUUCAGGCGAUGGAUGUAGAUAAGAAUAAUCCUAGUGUCAGGGAUACUUUCUAUUUAAAUACUGACUUAAGCAGCACUAAAGAUGGGAACAGCAAGAGAAAGAGCUUCUUCAGUCAGCCACAGGGGACUCUUGAAUACAGGGUGAUGGCACGAGACACUCUGGACAGUAUCGCCCUUUCAUUUGAUACCUCACCCUCUCUACUUAUGAGACUCAAUCAUCGUACAAGUAGGAUGAUAUUCCCUGGUCAGGUGGGUAUUCUAUCUCUCCCUCUCCUACUCCCAUUUUCCUUCGCCCACUUUUCUUUUUCAGAUUCAGUCAUUCUCCAUAACAUCUUUGGCAUGGUUUAUCUUGUUCUCUUACUUGUCCACUACUUUAUCCUCCGUUCUCCCCCUCAUCCUGCAACUCAAAACACAUCCCUUUUCACCUUUGCUGUUAAUACUCUCUCUGUAUUCUUCUCAUCAGUAAUAAUAUUAUUAUUAUUAGGUGAUCUGUCAAUCGACAGAUCAACUGUUAAUUUUGUAUGAAUUUUCUUUUUUAUUUAUUUAUAUGUUUUUUUGGUUUUUUCCGCCCUUUUCUUGUUAGCACAAAAUCUACAUCAUCAAUUAUCUUCAAAAUAUCAUCAGAUAUGGGGAUUUAUCAUGUCAUGUGUAUAAAACAAGUUCAAGGUCAAAAGGUCAUCAUGACAUCAUCUAGACGCCAUUUUGUAAAAUCACAUUAUCAAUUUUCAAAAAUUAACAAUAUUUACAUCACAUUAACUUCAGAUCAAGGGUCAACUGUCCAUCAAAAUCACUUUUUGACCAAAGUAGAGUAUGAUUCAAGUCAUUUUAAGCAUUUCAAAAAUUUGCACGCGCACACGGUUACGCGCGCGUUCUCGUGCGUAACGGCACUACAGAGCAUAGGAUCGCCAUUUUUUUUAUAUCGAUGCAACGAUAACAUAAAUCUGAAUAAUUUGAUACCUUGAUCAACCUUCUACGACAAGUAAUAACGGAAUUAGCCUCCAUCAAAGUUUACAGCAAUUGCGCGCGCACGCACUAACCAUAGACAAUAUAUGUGCAAAAACAUGCCUAUACAAAAUUCAUUCUAGCUCUUCAGGAAGUCCGUUGACCCCCAAUUUUUUUUUUCGUAUUCGAAUAGAGUAUGGAUGGGAGAUAUGAUUUCAUGCCACUUUUAACCCUUAAAAAUGGCGUCGGAACUCAAAAUUUCCACUUUGCUACUUAUGACGUCAUCAUAGUUAUGCAUAUUUGACUCUAACUCCGUAAACAUUGGUCAAUUUUCGCUCAGUUUUUGUCUCACCUGCAUAGCAGAGUGAGACUAUAGGCACCGCUUUUCCGACGGCGACGGCGGCGGCGACGGCGACGGCGGCGUCAACACCAAAUCUUAACCUGAGGUUAAGUUUUUGAAAUGACAGCAUAACUUAGAAAGUAUAUGGACCUAGUUCAUGAAACUUGGCCAUAAGGUUAAUCAAGUAUUACUGAACAUCCUGCCUGAGUUUCAUGUCACAUGACCAAGGUCAAAGGUCAUUUAGGGUCAAUGAACUUAGACCAUGUUGGGGGAAUCAACAUCAAAAUCUUAAUAACCUAAGGUUAAGUUUUUGAAAUGUCAUCAUAACUUAGAAAAUAUAUGGACCUAGUUCAUGAAACUUAUACAUAAGGUUAAUCAAGUAUCACUGAACAUCCUGCAUGAGUUUCACAUCACAUGACCAAGGUCAAAGGUCAUUUAGGGUCAAUGAACUUUGGCCGAAUUGGGGGUAUCUGUUGAAUUACCAUCAUAACUUUGAAAGUUUAUGGAUCUGAUUCAUGAAACUUGGACAUAAUAGUAAUCAAGUAUUACUGAACAUCCUGUGCAAGUUUCAGGUCACAUGAUCAAGGUCGAAGGUCAUUUAGGGUCAAUGAACUUUGGCCAAAUUGGGGUAUUUGUUGAAUUACAGCCAUAAAUUUGAAAGUGUUUUGGUCUAGUUCAUAAAACUUGGACAUAAUAGUAAUCAAGUAUCACUGAACAUCCUGUGCGAGUUUCAGGUCACAUGAUCAAGGUCAAAGGUCAUGUAAGGUCAAAGAACUUUGGCCACGUUGGGGGUAUUUGUUGAAUUGCCAUCAUAUCUCUAUAAGUGUAUUGGUCUAGUUCAUAAAACGUGGAAAUAAGAGUAACCAAGUAUCACUGAACAUCUUGUGCGAGUUAUAGUAGUUUUCAAAAUCAGCACUGCUGCUAUAUUGAAUCGCGUGAUGCAGGUGAGACGGCCAGAGGCAUUCCACUUGUUUAUAUGUUGUAGCUGAGGACAUACUCUUUCUAAUGUGAUGGCUAUAUUUACAUUUAAAGGAACGAAUCAUCCUGAAAAAUGGCAAGUUAUAGAGGCAUGUCAUUUUCGCUCAUUUUGUGUGCAAUCUCUAUGGGAAAUGACUUUUUCUCAAAACUUGACUUUACAUUCCUCUAUUUCGCGAGCCAUAUCUCCAUUUCUUUUUGUCGGUUUUCUCUGAGCUUGGAGUAUGUUGUAGCUGAGAUUCUAAGCUAUCAUUAAUGUGGUCUCCAUUUUCCGAUCAGAUGCCGGGAUCAUGCCCGUAUUUCUCUUGCAAAAUUGGAUUUCAGAUCCUCUUAAUUUGCUUAUGUGUAAAGUCUAUGGGAAAUAGUGUAGCUCAAUUGGUAUUAGGCAUCAGACUUGCAUCUCCAGGGUCCAUGGUUUGAGCCCAGGGGCAGGGUUGUAAUAAAAAAUGUU
Molecule: long non-coding RNA, 2909 nt
Organism: Lytechinus pictus (painted urchin)
Lineage: Eukaryota; Metazoa; Echinodermata; Echinoidea; Temnopleuroida; Toxopneustidae
Exons: 3
Source: RefSeq, a predicted model, not a curated record